Molecule: transfer RNA, 88 nt
Filed under: Candidatus Eiseniibacteriota bacterium
Lineage: Bacteria; Candidatus Eiseniibacteriota
Description: tRNA-Ser
Rfam family: tRNA
About the family: Transfer RNA (tRNA) molecules are approximately 80 nucleotides in length. Their secondary structure includes four short double-helical elements and three loops (D, anti-codon, and T loops).
Source: RNAcentral
GGAGAGGUGGCCGAGUGGCUGAAGGCGGCACAUUGCUAAUGUGUUGUGGGUUUAUAGCUCACCGCGGGUUCGAAUCCCGCCCUCUCCG